Vicugna pacos (alpaca) is the source of this 1287-nucleotide non-coding RNA. Lineage: Eukaryota; Metazoa; Chordata; Mammalia; Artiodactyla; Camelidae. The record is from RefSeq and is a predicted model, not a curated record.
UUUACCCUCUUGGUGACUUUGGCCCACUCAGGCAACUCCUGUGGUUGAAAUGUUCCACUCCCGUCUCCAGGCAGCCUGCAGUUACUUGGAAAAGUAAAUCCUCAACUUGGACUUACUGAAACAAUGAAACAAAUAUUUUGCCUAUCUUCUGUUAAGGCAAAAGCUGACUACAUCCCAUGAAAGAUAAGAGGAAUAGGUUUUUUCCAAGUUAUAAAUUUUGUGUUGUGUGGAGAGUGAAGAAAGAGGUUGAUUCACGCCACCCGAGGCGUGGGGGAGCACGUGGCAUGAAAGAACGUGUCAUGUGCUCGGAGGGAAAAGACCCGGAUAUGAAUCGACCCUGGUCUGUGACUUCCUAGCUGGGUAACCUUAGCAAAUUAUUUAAUCUUUCUGAAUUGUAGGUUCUUCAUUUCCAAAAGGACAAUAUUGUGAGGAGUGGAGAACAAUGAAGGUGGACGCACUCCUCAGGGUGCCGGGCCCAUGACAACUGGUAGGAAAUGUUCUCCGAAUCUCAGUUCUGUCCCUGGCCUUUGCCCUGAGUGAAGCAGGGGAAGCUCUCCCACCGCUGCACCUGAGCGAGUCCUCCUCCGCAAGAAUGAAGUUGAAAACUUAUUUCAGUUGGGAAUAGAAAAAACACAAACAAUGAAGCGCAAUAAAACAAAACAAAAACUCGGUUAAGAAAUGACCCUGAGGCAAAGUCUUAAAUCUUAAAGGUCAACAGGUGAUGUCUUGUUUGCCGAGUAGGAGCCCGGCCCCCAGUGUCUCUGAAGCUGCACUGCUGUUGACCAUGAUGGCUGUUGAAGAUGACCGUGGGCCUGAAGGAAAUUAUUCAGUUCUCCGAUUUCUCCACAUCUGAAGAGGGGGAUUGUAUCAUCAUUAAAAUACUGUUUGGAGACGACGGGAAAGAGCUGGGGCCACAGCGAGUGUUUAAACCAUCCGCUCCAGGACUAGCUCCAUGUGGCCUCCCUCAAUAUUACUUCAGAAAACUCGAGGUUUUCAGAAUCUGAAGAAAGCCCUGGCGAAUUUUGUGGUUGGCCUGCUCUGUUGUGGAGAUGCUGUGCUCAGGACCGAGAGGAGAAUCUGGGCGCUGAGCCUGGUGGGACCUUCUGACAUGAAGCCUUGACCGAACUGAGAAGAAUUGUGAGGCAGUCCACUGACCACACUGCUUCUUUGUCUCAGGCCCUCGGUAUUGGAGAUGGAACAUUUCCUCCUCUCAACUCACGGGGAGGAUGGCGAGGGAGCUCACAGCUGGGCUUUUGCACACACGCGCACCUCAUUUGUCUUCCUUUA